RNAcentral lists this unclassified non-coding RNA (234 nucleotides) under Hevea brasiliensis (rubber tree). The record is from RNAcentral. Lineage: Eukaryota; Viridiplantae; Streptophyta; Magnoliopsida; Malpighiales; Euphorbiaceae.
GAAGACGUCUAGUUUGUGCGUGGCAACAAAAAGCUAAAGCCUGAGUUCUCUCGGAGAGGAAGAGGAGAUUCAAUGUCAGCUAUAUCUAUUUGUUCCAUUGAUUUCGAUAUGUCAUCAACUGAAAACGGGAUGCUUGAAUCAUCAUCUAAGAGAAAAGAGUUGCUGACUGCUUGAUUUGAAUCUUCAGUCAUCGACACCCUCAUGCUGGAUAUGACCUAGGUUGACUAAUGGCAU